RNAcentral lists this long non-coding RNA (1555 nucleotides) under Gossypium raimondii (Peruvian cotton). RNAcentral describes it as "long non-coding RNA (GRAI_LNC006692)". Lineage: Eukaryota; Viridiplantae; Streptophyta; Magnoliopsida; Malvales; Malvaceae. The record is from RNAcentral.
CACCAUCUCCAGAAACUCUUUUCCACCUCAAUUGUCUUUUCAUACGCCCUGUUCCCCUCAUUACUCCUAUUGUUUCUCCUUUAUCAUCAAAAUAUUUACUGUUUCCUCCCCAUUUCUGUUUAGCCUCUCGUCUCUUUCCAACGUUGUUAAACUCCUUAUGUCUUCCUCCAGUGCUAACAUGGCCUUUCUCGGUAGCCAAUAUCCCAGGUCAGUACUCCUAAGACACUCAACUGCUCCUUUUGCAAGUUCAUGAGCAACUCCGUUACUAGAUCUAGAUAUUUUUUGAAAACGACAUUCCUCAAAACCUGUGCUUAAUAUUUGAAUAUCCUGAAUGUACGAACAUAAAACUGACCGAUCCUCUUUUAAUGCCUUUACUCUCCUUCAAUGAUAACCCGUCGGAGUUCCAUUUCUAACCCCGCCUGAACUGCUAGUAGACAGGCUAUUGCCUCCACCGCAAACGGUGUAAGAACUCCCUCAUUAACUAACAUUUUAGCACCCAAGUUUUCUUCUUUUGAAUUCCUAAAGAUUAUUCCUGUCCCUAAUUGCUUCCUUUGUUUGUUGUAAGCCUCAUCGAAGUUUAUUUUGGUUAUACUUUGGUCCGGUGGUGUCCAACGUUCAUUGUUAUUGACCCUCCCUGGUAAGUUAUUUUUUACAACUAACCAUUCUUCUAAAUAUUUCCCUAUAAAACAUACAGUUUCUAUGGCUAAUUGUUGUAUUUUUUUCAUGCAAUACUCUAUUUCGUCCCAUCCAUAUCGCCCAAAUGGUGGCAAACAAUAGUUGUUUCUGUUGGUCGCUACUUCUCGUAAGAUGUUCCCUUAUCCAUUCCUGUAGAGUAUCAUUUAAUGUUAUUUCCUGUAUCUCGAAGUUGAGUUCUGACCAUACCUCUUGUAUUACAGAAUAGUCCCUAAUUGCAUGCUCCAAAAUCUCUAGACCCUCCUUGCAUCUUGGGCACAUCGUUGAGUUACUAAUUUUUCUGUUGUAUAAAUUUCCAAAUGUAGGGAUAUAGUUGUUGCAUAUUCGCCAGUUUAUAAUUCUAAUUUUGUUUGGGAGAUUUGUAUGCCAAAGGUGGUUGUAAAAUUCUCUACAUGUGUUGUCAUUAUUAGCCAUUCUUGGGUUUGUAUUUUUCGUCAAUAAGUUUCUGUAGCUGCUCCUUACUAUAUAUCCCCUCGUAAGUUCGCCACUCCAGACCCUUUUUUCCUCUUGUGGGUGUCUCGCCAAAGGAAUCUCCAUGAUCACCUCUGUUUUUUUGUUACUAAAAAGUCUGGUGAUUACUUGCUCCUUCAACUAUCUUGAAUUUAAAUCAAUAUGCCACUUUUGUUACACUAUAAUCACUGACUGACUCUUAAAUUCUUUGGCUUUCCAGUUCAGGAACCUAAGCAUCCUUGUAACAGUCCGUUUUUAGUGAAAUUAGAACAGUGGUUUCGGAACUACAAAUUCGAGUCAGGAAAAAAUUUUAUUUUAAUAUUAUUGUAUGGUCUGCAUUAUGAUAGGACAGACGUACGGAAUUUUUUAUAAGAAAAUUUUAUUGAUUUCAUUUUUAAUUGUUAGUAAGGAC